This 465-nucleotide ribosomal RNA is filed under the name uncultured bacterium. RNAcentral describes it as "partial 16S ribosomal RNA". It matches the Rfam family "Bacterial small subunit ribosomal RNA", at positions 339 to 795 of the family's 1533-position model. The record is from RNAcentral.
CUACGGGAUGCAGCAGUGGGGAAUAUUGGACAAUGGGGGAAACCCUGACCCAGCAAUGCCGCGUGUGUGAAGAAGGCCUGCGGGUUGUAAAGCACUUUCGGUUGGGAGGACUGCUUCUAGCACUAAUAUUGUUGGAAGUUGACGUUACCUUCAGAAGAAGCACCGGCUAACCCCGUGCCAGCAGCCGCGGUAAUACGGAGGGGGCAAGCGUUAAUCGGAAUUACUGGGCGUAAAGCGCGCGUAGGCGGCUAGAUCAGUCGGGUGUGAAAGCCCCGGGCUUAACCUGGGAACUGCAUCCGAUACUGUCGAGCUUGAGUACAGGAGAGGAGAGUGGAAUUCCACGUGUAGCGGUGAAAUGCGUAGAUAUGUGGAGGAACACCAAUGGCGAAGGCAGCUCUCUGGCCUGAUACUGACGCUGAGGUGCGAAAGCGUGGGGAGCAAACAGGAUUAGAUACCCCAGUAGUC